ACUCCUACGGGAGGCAGCAGUGGGGAAUUUUGGACAAUGGGCGAAAGCCUGAUCCAGCCAUUCCGCGUGUGUGAUGAAGGCCUUCGGGUUGUAAAGCACUUUUGUCAGGGAAGAAACAGCGAUGAAUAAUACUUGUCGCGAAUGACGGUACCUGAAGAAUAAGCACCGGCUAACUACGUGCCAGCAGCCGCGGUAAUACGUAGGGUGCAAGCGUUAAUCGGAAUUACUGGGCGUAAAGCGUGCGCAGGCGGUUCGGAAAGAAAGAUGUGAAAUCCCAGAGCUCAACUUUGGAACUGCAUUUUUAACUACCGGACUAGAGUGUGUCAGAGGGGGGUGGAAUUCCGCGUGUAGCAGUGAAAUGCGUAGAGAUGCGGAGGAACACCGAUGGCGAAGGCAGCCCCCUGGGAUAACACUGACGCUCAUGUACGAAAGCGUGGGUAGCAAACAGGAUUAGAUACCCUGGUAGUCCACGCCCUAAACGAUGUCAACUAGCUGUUGGGGCCUUCGGGCCUUAGUAGCG
This 520-nucleotide ribosomal RNA is filed under the name bacterium btn 18B-3. RNAcentral's name for it is "bacterial SSU rRNA". It matches the Rfam family "Bacterial small subunit ribosomal RNA", at positions 335 to 848 of the family's 1533-position model. The record is from RNAcentral.